AAAUAAGUUCCAAAAGUACAAAAUGGUCUCUAAGACACGAAAUUUUUUUAUCACCAGUUGUAUGUCUGAGUGAGCUAGGUGAAUCGUCAUCGAGGCCAGCAAGCGCAGUCGAACAAUCGGCCUCGCAAGCGCUAGGCGCAGCGAU
Caenorhabditis elegans is the source of this 145-nucleotide non-coding RNA. NCBI's taxonomy places the organism in Eukaryota, Metazoa, Nematoda, Chromadorea, Rhabditida, Rhabditidae. The record is from Ensembl.